AUCUAGGUGAUGAGUCCGAAAUAAGACGAAACGUGCGUCAUGGAU
This 45-nucleotide non-coding RNA is filed under the name Schistosoma margrebowiei. The record is from RNAcentral. Lineage: Eukaryota; Metazoa; Platyhelminthes; Trematoda; Strigeidida; Schistosomatidae.